RNAcentral lists this long non-coding RNA (233 nucleotides) under Elaeis guineensis (African oil palm). Its description in RNAcentral is "long non-coding RNA (EGUI_LNC031845)". Lineage: Eukaryota; Viridiplantae; Streptophyta; Magnoliopsida; Arecales; Arecaceae. The record is from RNAcentral.
AGUGGAUGGAUCACAGAUGAGCUUCCACAAUGAGCAGGCUCCACCAGCAGGAUCUCUACUCCGAACCUCUUUCGGACUUCAUCAAGGACCGAGCUUCUCCAACGGCAGGACUUCUACGGUAAGCGGUCUACUCCAAACUUCUAUGACAACCGAUCUCCAUCCGGACUUCUACGGUAAGCGGACUCCUUCCAGACUCCUACAGGAACCGGACCCCGUCCGAACUUCUAUAGCGA